UCCAAAGUGAAAACUAUUCUUUCAAACAAGGAUUUAGAGUCUGUUAUACAUGCUUUUAUUUCAACGCGGUUGGACUAUUGUAAUGCUUUAUACUUAGGAAUAAGUGAAUCUCUGGUUAUGCGUCUUCAGUAUGUUCAGAAUGCUGCAGCAAGACUUUUAACUAACACUAGAAAACGGGAUCAUAUACAGUAACACCUCUGUUGGUAUCUUUGCAUUGGCUUCCUGUAAAAUACUGAAUACAAUACAAGUUGUUGAUGUUUGUGUAUAAAGCUCUGCAUGAUCAGGCUCCUGAGUGAAUAGGGGAUAUGUUGGUCCCUUACCAAUCGCAUCGAUAAUUGCGCUCCUCUCAGAGCUUGCUUUUGACUAGCGGAGUGGAGAUCAUGCUUUUUCUGUUGCGGCUCCAGCUCUUUGGAAUGCUCUGCCAUUAUCUGUAAAAUCCUCAUCAAGGAUGGACAUUUUUAAAAAGGACUUAAAGACUGACUUGUUUUAUCAGGCUUUCAGCAUUUAAUUGGUCAGGAUGAUUGUGAAUUACUUGUCUUUUAUUUUAUGUUUUGUUCCUAUGUUUUAAUGUUUUAUGUUUUUUUUAUCUUUAUUAUAUACUGCUUGUGUACAGCACUUUGGUCCAUUUUUUAUGGUUUUGAAAGUGUUUUAUAAAUAAAGGUUGAGUUGAGAAUACAUUUAGGGUCCCUGUCAUUUUCAUGUUUUAAAUAAACUUGUUCCCCAUCAUUUUUGCUAUAUGGAAUGCAAAAUCUUUGAAGCUCAAUAUCUCAAAACUGCUCAGAAUGCAGAUAGAAGCUUAUAAUUCCAAGGUGACGAUAUCAUUGUUCCUUAUAUAUUGGAAAUUAUGCAAAAUAAAACAUACUCAGCCAGUCUAUGUGAGUUAUGCAUGAUGCAGUUGUGUACAUAUUUGUUUAGUGCAAAGUCUUUGUUUGGAGUCUGUCAGUGCACCAGCUAAUCAAGCAUUAUUUGCUUAUUGUGCUCUCAUGGGGUUCAUAUUCAGAACCGUGUUACAUUAAAUACAGUGCCAUUUCCAUCAAAUCUGGAAAAACAAAUUUACAUUUGCAGCCUUUUGCAGCCUUCCACAUUGCAAAUGUAAAAUGAAUAAAGCAUCAAAGUAGGCACA
Molecule: long non-coding RNA, 1123 nt
Organism: Cyprinus carpio (common carp)
Lineage: Eukaryota; Metazoa; Chordata; Actinopteri; Cypriniformes; Cyprinidae
Source: Ensembl